UGAUUCAGGUACCCUCUUGAUUCAUUUUUGAUGGUCCACAGUUUCUUAUGAAGAAAAGCAACGCCUCACCGUUUCUUCCGCACAAGACACAAGUAACACGCACUCCCUUCUUCUUCGCUCCUUUCCCUUUCCAUCAUCAAACCCUGCACUUCACUAGCUUUCCAUCGACUCUAGCCAAGAAGAUGAUCAGGGACUUUAAUUUGUUCCCAGAACGCUCGAUCAACAUCGUUGAGGACGAUGAUGGGUUGCGAUCGUCGAGUUUUCAGCAGAAUAAGAUAGUUGAGAAGCGUUUUAAGUUCCCCAAUUUAGUCGAUCCAAAUGACAUAUCUGUUGAUGAUUUAGGUCAUCACACUGGUUAUUACCAGUUUGAACAUUCUCAUGCUCCUCGGAAAACUGGCUGCCCAAAUGGCUCGUGAUUUGGGAAUCGGGAAAGAUAGCGAUAAGCAAAGGAAAAGAAACUGAGGCCAGUAACCUUUGAGUUAGCACUUCAACCUGGCAACGGGGAAACCUCAGCGGAAAUGAGCAUUCAUCCCCUUUUGGGAUUCAACCAGAUCUUGGUUCUGGAAGCUUGCUAAGGUGCAUUUUCUUGCUCAUGACAACUUGUAAGUCACUGGUGUAAGUGUCCGAUUGUCCAUAAUCUUGUUGUACACGAUUGAGAGCCUUUUGAGGGUUAGUUGGAAGGACAUUCUAAAAUGAUCGAUGGUCUCUAAUAUGUAUAGAAUAUGAUGGGUUUUUUUAUAUUUAUUGGAAUCCAUUCAUUGUAAAUCGAGGAUUUGAACAUGUCAAGAUUAUGAAAGUUGG
Molecule: long non-coding RNA, 801 nt
Organism: Cynara cardunculus var. scolymus (artichoke)
Lineage: Eukaryota; Viridiplantae; Streptophyta; Magnoliopsida; Asterales; Asteraceae
Exons: 3
Source: RefSeq, a predicted model, not a curated record